RNAcentral lists this ribosomal RNA (241 nucleotides) under uncultured Sphingomonadaceae bacterium. Its description in RNAcentral is "partial 16S ribosomal RNA". It matches the Rfam family "Bacterial small subunit ribosomal RNA", at positions 171 to 428 of the family's 1533-position model. The record is from RNAcentral. Lineage: Bacteria; Pseudomonadati; Pseudomonadota; Alphaproteobacteria; Sphingomonadales; Sphingomonadaceae.
GCAUACGUCCUGAGGGAGAAAGAUUUAUCGCUCCAGGAGGGGCCCGCGUCGGAUUAGCUAGUUGGUGGGGUAACGGCUUACCAAGGCGAUGAUCCGUAGCUGGUCUGAGAGGAUGAUCAGCCACACUGGGACUGAGACACGGCCCAGACUCCUACGGGAGGCAGCAGUGGGGAAUAUUGGACAAUGGGCGCAAGCCUGAUCCAGCAAUGCCGCGUGAGUGAUGAAGGCCUUAGGGUUGUAA